AUUGAACGCUGGCGGCAGGCCUAACACAUGCAAGUCGAGCGGAUGAAGGGAGCUUGCUCCUGGAUUCAGCGGCGGACGGGUGAGUAAUGCCUAGGAAUCUGCCUGGUAGCGGGGGAUAACGUCCGGAAACGGGCGCUAAUACCGCAUACGUCCUGAGGGAGAAAGUGGGGGAUCUUCGGACCUCACGCUAUCAGAUGAGCCUAGGUCGGAUUAGCUAGUUGGUGGGGUAAAGGCCUACCAAGGCGACGAUCCGUAACUGGUCUGAGAGGAUGAUCAGUCACACUGGAACUGAGACACGGUCCAGACUCCUACGGGAGGCAGCAGUGGGGAAUAUUGGACAAUGGGCGAAAGCCUGAUCCAGCCAUGCCGCGUGUGAAGAAGGUCUUCGGAUUGUAAAGCACUUUAAGUUGGGAGGAAGGGCAGUAAGUUAAUACCUUGCUGUUUUGACGUUACCAACAGAAUAAGCACCGGCUAACUUCGUG
RNAcentral lists this ribosomal RNA (482 nucleotides) under uncultured bacterium. Its description in RNAcentral is "partial 16S ribosomal RNA". It matches the Rfam family "Bacterial small subunit ribosomal RNA", at positions 30 to 507 of the family's 1533-position model. The record is from RNAcentral.